CUAACCCUAGAAAUUUUCUGUAAGUGUUAAAUCAAUUUUGAGAUGCUUACUUCGCGAUCUCAUAACUCCUUCGUUAUAACUUGGAACGAGGUCGUUCCAAAGCCAUUCUUUUCCUUAUCUUACGUAAUUUAAUACCCAUCGAGCAGAAAUUCAAUAUAAAUCUGUUAAUGUGCCAUUCGAUUGGCUUGAUUUUCACCCUUUGUUCAUUUUAUGUGUUUAACGCUCUUCGUUCGUUCGUCCGUAAUUCGGUCAUCCAAACUCGGAACUCGCUCGUUCUUGAGUCCGCGACUCACGUUUUCUAUAUUCUCUUACUUUUUUAUGAAACCCUACACGUUCGGAUUCAUUUACUAACUUUCUAAUUCUCUUUUGACUUUUAUAAAAUUUUCGCCAUAACUUCGUUAUAGCUAAGUUUUAAUCCGUUCUUCAUGAAUAUUUCUACCGUUCCUAACAAACCAAGAAGCAACUAACUUAUACACGAUGGUUUUAAACUUGUCCAUCAACAACAAUUAUCCUAUGAUGGUUUUAAAUUUGUCCAUCAACAACGUUCUUCGUGUUCUUCGCGUGUUCUUCGUUCGUUCUUCAUUUUAAUCAAUAUUUUGGAUUACGAUUCCACUUUUUAUUGGAAUUUAAUGUUAUAGAACAUCAUUCCUUACUUAUUUCACCAACUUAUUCAUAUAAUCCACUCGGAUCGCUCUAAUUCAUUACGAAUCUUAUACUUCCUUAAGAAAUUUAUAAACUAAAUUUCUAAGUUCUUAUUUCUUCUUUUCUCAUGAUUUCAACCAUAUAAACUCAUAUCUAACCUUAUCUACUUCUUAUCUUCAUUAAUUUAUGUUUUAAACAUAUUAAACUUAAAGAAAAUUCUAUUAGAAGCUAGGUUAUAGAUUACCUCUUCUUCUUCUUUUUCUCCCCCUAGACAAAGCCGACGAUUUGUAAGCUUUUCUAUUUCACGAUCACCCUUGAUCCGAGCAUCCAUGCUCAUGUUCUUUCUUCUUCUCCCCAUCGGACUUCUCUAUCUCUCUCUCAAGUGUGGGAUUUUCAAAAUUCUCAAAAUAAAUAAAUGAGCUUCGUAUUUAUAGAAAAU
This 1081-nucleotide long non-coding RNA is filed under the name Panax ginseng (ginseng). RNAcentral's name for it is "long non-coding RNA (PGIN_LNC011679)". Lineage: Eukaryota; Viridiplantae; Streptophyta; Magnoliopsida; Apiales; Araliaceae. The record is from RNAcentral.